Molecule: ribosomal RNA, 372 nt
Filed under: uncultured organism
Description: partial 16S ribosomal RNA
Rfam family: Bacterial small subunit ribosomal RNA
Source: RNAcentral
GUAGGUGGCAAGCGUUGUCCGGAAUUAUUGGGCGUAAAGCGCGCGCAGGCGGUUCUUUAAGUCUGAUGUGAAAGCCCACGGGCUCAACCGUGGAGGGUCAUUGGAAACUGGAGAACUUGAGUACAGAAGAGGAAAGCGGAAUUCCACGUGUAGCGGUGAAAUGCGUAGAGAUGUGAAGGAACACCAGUGGCGAAGGCGGCUUUCUGGUCUGUAACUGACGCUGAGGCGCGAAAGCGUGGGGAGCAAACAGGAUUAGAUACCCUGGUAGUCCACGCCGUAAACGAUGAGUGCUAAGUGUUAGGGGGUUUCCGCCCCUUAGUGCUGCAGCUAACGCAUUAAGCACUCCGCCUGGGGAGUACGGCCGCAAGGCUA